This 85-nucleotide non-coding RNA is filed under the name Pseudo-nitzschia pungens. The record is from RNAcentral. Lineage: Eukaryota; Bacillariophyta; Bacillariophyceae; Bacillariales; Bacillariaceae.
ACCAACUAAAAUAAGCAAAUUCUGAAAAAAAAAAAAAAAAAAAAAAUUUUUUUUUUUUUUUUUUUUUUCAGAAUUUGCUUAUUUU